Molecule: long non-coding RNA, 1211 nt
Organism: Octopus bimaculoides (California two-spot octopus)
Lineage: Eukaryota; Metazoa; Mollusca; Cephalopoda; Octopoda; Octopodidae
Source: RefSeq, a predicted model, not a curated record
ACUAUCACGUACCUAUAUCAUAAUUCAAUACUGACGUCAUAAUGCCUUGUUCUUAUAAUCCAUUAUGUCACAUGACAUAAUUAUGUAUCUAUUAGUAACAAUAGCAAAAACAGUAAGAAGUAUAACAUUAAUAAUAAUAAUUGCUUCUAAUUUAGGCACAAGGCCAGCAAUUUUGAGGGGAGGUGUUCAGUCGAUACCAUCGACCCUACUCCUUGACUGUUACUUUAUUUUAUCAACCUCGGAAGGAUGAAAGAGCAAGGUAAGUGGAAAAAUCUUACAACUUCCAAUGAGAACCCUUAAAAUAGCACAGAUGAUAUUGCAAUGAUGAUGAUGAUGAUGAUGAUGGAAAGGUUGGUGGUGUUGUUGAUUGACAUCUAACAGCAUUGAAAAUAAUACUAAUAAUUCUUUCCAAUUUUUGGCACAAGGCCAGCAAUCGUUAGGGGAGGUGGAAGUUAAUUACAUCAACUACCCCCACUAGUGCUCAACUGGUACCUAUUUUAUCAAUCCCAAAAGAACGAAAGGCAAUGCAAAUCUCAGUGGGCUUCAAAUUUUGGCACAAGGCCAGCAAUUUUAGAAGGGGGAGCAUAUUGAUUACAUCAACCCCAGUACUUGACUGCUACUUUGAUUUAUCAACUCUGAAAAGAUGAAAGGCAAAGGCUCUGGAAAAUUCAACCUCAGCAGAAUCUGAACUCAACAGAAAUACUGCUAAAAAUUUUUGUCUGAUAUGCUCGCCACCUUAUAAUGGUUUCAAACUUUGGCACACAACCAGCAGUUUUGGGGGGAGGGGCAAGUCAGUUACUCAACUUGUACUUUAUUUUAUAAGCCCCAAAAGAACAAAAGGCAAAUUCAACCUCAGUGGGGUUUGAACUCAGGAUGUAAAGAGCCCAAACAAAUACUACAAGACCUUUUAUCUGACAUUCUAAUGAUGUGUUCCAGAUGAACACAUAACAUAAUGUAAUCCUAGAUAAACUAUGUCUGAAUAAAACACAAGAUGGUCAUGGCUGGAAAACCACUGAUUAUAGGAAGUUUCAAAUCUGAGCUGCCUUGAGAUUUAUCACUGAUUUUUUUUUUUUUUUAACUACUACUUCAGUAAAUAUUAUGCUAUACUCUGAGAAGAUAGAAUAAGCCUAAAGCAUUUCCCAAUUUUUUUUUCCAAUACUUGCUAAUAAAAUUAUUUAAUAUUAGUUGUUGAAUAAAUUUAUUGAAUGAUU